Molecule: ribosomal RNA, 618 nt
Filed under: Staphylococcus aureus
Lineage: Bacteria; Bacillati; Bacillota; Bacilli; Caryophanales; Staphylococcaceae
Description: partial 23S ribosomal RNA
Rfam family: Bacterial large subunit ribosomal RNA
Source: RNAcentral
GAUGGGGAGAAGACAUUGUGUCUUCGAGUCGUUGAUUUCACACUGCCGAGAAAAGCCUCUAGAUAGAAAAUAGGUGCCCGUACCGCAAACCGACACAGGUAGUCAAGAUGAGAAUUCUAAGGUGAGCGAGCGAACUCUCGUUAAGGAACUCGGCAAAAUGACCCCGUAACUUCGGGAGAAGGGGUGCUCUUUAGGGUUAACGCCCAGAAGAGCCGCAGUGAAUAGGCCCAAGCGACUGUUUAUCAAAAACACAGGUCUCUGCUAAACCGUAAGGUGAUGUAUAGGGGCUGACGCCUGCCCGGUGCUGGAAGGUUAAGAGGAGUGGUUAGCUUCUGCGAAGCUACGAAUCGAAGCCCCAGUAAACGGCGGCCGUAACUAUAACGGUCCUAAGGUAGCGAAAUUCCUUGUCGGGUAAGUUCCGACCCGCACGAAAGGCGUAACGAUUUGGGCACUGUCUCAACGAGAGACUCGGUGAAAUCAUAGUACCUGUGAAGAUGCAGGUUACCCGCGACAGGACGGAAAGACCCCGUGGAGCUUUACUGUAGCCUGAUAUUGAAAUUCGGCACAGCUUGUACAGGAUAGGUAGGAGCCUUUGAAACGUGAGCGCUAGCUUACGUG